GCCCCCUCCCAGGGUCUAUCAUGGAUUGACCCAGACACGUGGCAUUCUCAGACAACCUGUUUGCAAUCAUGAAAUUGGGAUGAGCUGAAAGAGAAGGUCUAGCAAGUGUCUGGGAAGGAGGAUCAAACCCUGAAUCUUCCUGAGGAUUCAGCUUUCCACGCCAAAUUCUGCACUGAGUCUUUUUAUAGGAGAAGUGAGCUUCUAACCCACAUCUGUCUUUCCCAGCUACUCCGUGCUAAGCAAGAAGAGGGUCAACAAAGCGUGCGGUUGGGGAUGGGACUGACCCUCCGACGCCGGCAUCCUCCACUGGGACUCAGCGCUGGAAGAGAAGCCCAGAGGCACGGGGUAGCUAGCGCACGGCAUCAGAUGACUGCUGAGAAAAGCAAGGACCGGGAGAUCUACCUCAGAUACUGCCGGUUACAUCUGGAGUGUUUCAGUGGCUCACACAACAGCAGCAGCAGCUUGUCACUGUGGCCACCACCUUCCAGGACCAGGACCUCUUUCUGAGGCAUGAUUAAUGAAUCCUAAUUUGACAUGGACUCAACACCCGCCACGACUGCCUCUUCUACCCUGUAAUUGCAGAUCUUCAUUUACACUUAUAUUUUUAGAGGUUCUUCUCCCGUUUUUGUACCUCCAAACCUGGCACUCCAUCCUCCUGUUGUAAAACACUCCCUAAACCCACAACUGGUCUAAUAACGCAUGACCCUUCAUGUUUAGAUAACGACCAUUCCCAUCAGUCUAUCCAAAAGAGGCCUCAAAAUGAAAUUUUCAGCACCGAGUGCCAGAGUAAGGCGGAUGCCGGCUGUUCAGGACCUCUGCUUACAUUGUCCAAAACUCUUAGUGGAACAGGUUAUGGGUGCCAUCUAAUUCUUGUUUUCUCAUGUAAAGCCUUAUAAAACCAGACCAAUGUAAACUUUCAAGGCCAUACAGAAGAAACUAACAUCUUUCCAGGCACCAACCUAUGUCAGAUCACUUUGAACACACAAGUCCCGUGGCAUUCUGAGAAAAGCAAGCUACCGAUCUCCUGACAUCAGCAGGAGAGUUUCAACUAUGCCCAUAGCAGAUGUAUGGAAAACUCCAAACACUUGGCCAAGUUUCAUGAAAAUAACUCAAGGUAACAUACAAUUCUUUCACUAGGAGCCAUGUCAAUAUGUUGUAUUCUGGGCACCCGGUUAGUCAGAGCCUGGUCAGGCAUCCAGACUGCUGCCACAUUAAAAAUGC
This is a long non-coding RNA of Leopardus geoffroyi (Geoffroy's cat), 1221 nucleotides long. RefSeq lists it as uncharacterized. The transcript is spliced from 4 exons. The record is from RefSeq and is a predicted model, not a curated record. NCBI's taxonomy places the organism in Eukaryota, Metazoa, Chordata, Mammalia, Carnivora, Felidae.